AUUGAACGCUGGCGGCAUGCUUUACACAUGCAAGUCGGACGGAGUGGCGAACGGGUGAGUAAUGUAUCGGAACGUGCCCAGUAGCGGGGGAUAACUACGCGAAAGCGUAGCUAAUACCGCAUACUAUUGGAGCGGCCGAUAUCGGAUUAGCUAGUUGGUGGGGUAACGGCUCACCAAGGCUACGAUCCGUAGAUGGUUUGAGAGGACGACCAGCCCAACUGGGACUGAGAAACGGCCCAGACUCCUACGGGAGGCAGCAGUGGGGAAUUUUGGACAAUGGGGGAAACCCUGAUCCAGCCAUCCCGCGUGUGCGAUGAAGGCCUUCGGGUGGUAAAGCACUUUUGGCAGGAAAGCGGUACCUGCAGAAUAAGCACCGGCUAACUACGUGCCAGCCGCCGCGGUAAUAC
RNAcentral lists this ribosomal RNA (407 nucleotides) under uncultured bacterium. RNAcentral's name for it is "partial 16S ribosomal RNA". It matches the Rfam family "Bacterial small subunit ribosomal RNA", at positions 30 to 526 of the family's 1533-position model. The record is from RNAcentral.